Long non-coding RNA from Oncorhynchus tshawytscha (Chinook salmon), 605 nucleotides. The record is from Ensembl. Lineage: Eukaryota; Metazoa; Chordata; Actinopteri; Salmoniformes; Salmonidae.
ACACAGCCUUACUGGAUGAGAAGCAGCAGUAACACUAGCAGCAUCUCAUUUGUGGCUGCUGGGGGCUCGGUCUCACACACACAGGCGCUCCCAGCGCCACCGUCACACACACGCAGUGGCAGCCACAGCCGUCGUUAGAGCCUGGGCUGGGGCAGGGACGGGGACCGCUACUGUGACGACUGGAGCUACGGCGAUAGCAGCUGCUGCACCAUGGCACAAGCCGCCAAGCAGCUACGCAAGAACAAGGACCUAGCGGAGCUCGCAGCUCAGGAGCUGAAGGAUAAGGAGGAGGAGAAGAACAAGAAGAGGAAUCGAUCGAGGGACCGAAGACGCAAGGAAGAGAACUCAAGUCUGCACUAUGCUAUAAGGAUGUGACCUUGCUGGGGAGUUCAAGUUGGAUAUGGCUGGAGAGUAUGAUGUGUCAAUGUUUUUAUAAACCAGAAGUCAAUAGGAGGAGAAGUUAUUCAAUUUGAACAAUUUGCAAUUUCCAUGCACCUUGUGAAUGUAUUUUUAUACUAUACACAGUGUUUAAUGUGUAAUGUGUUUGUAUAUGUAAAAUAUAGCAAUUUUAUUAGCAUUACAUUUUUUUCUGCUCUAGUAUGUUG